RNAcentral lists this unclassified non-coding RNA (3096 nucleotides) under Hevea brasiliensis (rubber tree). The record is from RNAcentral. Lineage: Eukaryota; Viridiplantae; Streptophyta; Magnoliopsida; Malpighiales; Euphorbiaceae.
GAGAUUCUUCUAAAUUAUUUUUCUCAAUUCAAUAAUUUCUAAAUCAUGAAAUCAAUAAUGAAGCUAUGAUAUCAAAAUUCACUUUUGUCAACCAUUAUCACUAUUUAAUUUGCUAUGACAAUGCCAGCCAAAUCGGAGACGAAAAUUUAUUUUUUCAAUUUAUAUAUUUUGCUCAUAAAAAUUGGAAAAGUAAAUAAUAAAACUGAAGCAGAAAAAGAGAAGUAUUUGCUGUCCAAGGAUCCAUCACGAUGUCUAACCUCGGCCAAGAAUGCAUACCAAAUUACCAAAUACUUGAUGAGCAUUAGAGAGAGCAGCAUUGCAGUAAGAAUAUGACCAAAUGAGUUCUUGCAUUUGAUAUAAGUUCUGUCCAAUCCUAAUCAAAGCAAAAUGACUGCUAUAUAGAGCUCUCCUGUUUCCUAGAACAAGAGUGUUGUAGACACACAAAGUGUUCCCAAAUCUCCCACAUGCUGAAGACCGAAAAACAUCUUGGAGAUGCAAAUUGACAACCAUCAGCUUGCUGAAUUCUCGUGCAAUAGUACGUAUUCUCGGCUACUGUUACCAAAUUUAAUCGUGUCUUUCUCAAAAAGCUCAUAAUAACGUUGAGGUUCAAUCGGAUUAUCAUUAAUGAAAGUUUUAUUUGUGCUUCCAAGAUCCAUUAAAUAAGGCCUUACUUGCUUAGAUAAGUUACCAUCAUGCUGCUCCUUUUCUACUUGACGGAAUUGAAUGACAGCAUGUUGCUUGCUACAGGAUGGGUGGUCUGUAGGAAUAUCUGCAACCCUUCUUUCUCUCCCAAAAAGGUAACAGGUCUGACGAUGUAUAUAGAGGGGCUCAUUCAGCACAUCACCAUUCUUAAAGACAUAGAGUCGCCAUCUUAUAUCAGGUUUGCGAGCAUCUGGGGGCUCAUUGAACAGUAGUGUAACACCUCUAACUCUGUUGGUUUCCGCAGCAAGUUUUCCAGAUAGCUCAAAUGAAGGUUGUUGCUGCAGUUGCAAUGAUGAUGACCAAAAUAAGGCAACAGAAUCUAGAUAAAAUGAACAUUUUCACUUUUGCUUUGAUUCCAAGGCCUCCUCAGCAGCCUUCAUCUUUGCCACAGAAUCAUCAUCGUCAUUCCUGCCCAAGCAUAAAAGCAGCCUCAACACUUGCUCGAAGUAUCGGCAAUGCUACCCCAGCAUUAUCAGAUAAAGAUUAAAAGUAAAAGCAAAACAAGAAAAUUAGUGCAACACCAUAGUUUAUCCUCUCACCUACACUUCAGUACAAAUAAGACUAAUGUGAAAAACACAAAAUGACUGGGAAAUUGUCACAGUGAUUGUGCAAAUGCCAUCCUCACUUUGCCACAUUUAUCAAGUAUAAAGCUAAGAAGAAAAACUUAAUAGACCAAUGAACAUAGAUUGCUUCUUUCCUGUGCUCUCCUUUUCAUGGUAAAGACUAUCAAAAUAUGACGAGGCUAUUGUGUUAUGUUGGAGAAAUCAUAUUGCUUCAACUGACCCAUUGUGCUUAGAUUAUUCCCAUCCAUAAAAAUUGGAAAAAUGUGCCUCCCCAACCUGUUGCUUUUGCUUAUAAAUUCAUAUCAUUGUGGAAUAUGGCCUACAGAAUCUAAUGCAAAGUUCUCAGCCCACUAUCAUUGCUAUUCAUAAAAAGAGAUGGCAUUUCACACUGAACGUAUGUUACCAACACUUAGGUGCAAAUCUAAAGGGAAAACAAAGGUGAAGAAGCAGCUAACCAUCGUUCUGUUCCUCUAGAGUUGGUCACCUGAGAAGAUCAAAGUUUCAUCAGGCACUUGAAUUAAGCAUCAAUUUAAGCAAGAAAUGUAACUCUUAACAUGCAUGAAAGAAUUGAGAGUUUAGAAAAUACAAAUGUUCAUCAUUUUCCUGAUUAAAUUAAGUUCAAACUUCCUUCAUGUGACAAUGAUUAAGGGGCCAAUUUUCUGACAAUUUUAUAGCAUUUUGACAAUUUCCAUCUAAAAAAGGAAUUAUUUUGCAGUUGUAAGUGAUAACAGCGAACAACAGUUUUUCCAUGCACCAAACAACUUAAGACACUCAAGUAAAAGACAGAAAAGUAAUUAGUUGUGGAUAUCACCAGACACCUCGUCACGUUGUCUCCUAUGGACAUCUUGUUGAGGUGGUGAUAGAGAUCUAUGUUUGCUCCUAUGAUGGUGAUCUGAUGGAGAAGUUGAUUUCCCAUUCCUGGCUCUAGAAGACUUUCCAUCAAUUUCAUCUCUUCCUGACCUUCUCUCCUUUCUCUCAGCUCCACUUUCCCUAUCUUCACCUCUCUCUCUAUGAGUAUUAUGGUCACUAACCAUCCCAGGAUUCCUUUCAUGCUUUCUCUCAGUCAUUUUCUCAGUCUCUCUUUCUCUACGAUCACCUUUAUCACUUAUCCUGCCAUGACUUUUUUCAUGUUCUCUUAUAGAAAAAUUUUCCGUCUCUUUUUCCCUAUGUGUACCAUCUCCCUUUUCAUGAUUCCUUUCACGGUCCCUCUCCACUACAGUCUCAGUCUCUCUCUCAGCUUGUUCCCUCCUUAACCGCUUUGUUCUCAGAGACGGAGAGCAAGACCUUUCACGACUAGAAUUUUUCUCUCUUGCCGGUGCGGAGCUAUCCCUCUGGGAUCUCCUAUGCUGUGAUGGAGGAGAAUGAGACAUCUCAUGCCUUGGAGAUCUGGCGUAACUUGAGCGUUUCUCUCUUGCUGGAGAGCUAUCCCUACGGGAGCUCCUGUGUCGUGCCGGUGAUCUUUCUCUUUGAUAUGGGGUCGUCCUAUGUGGAGAACCACGACUUCUAAUGGGAGAUUGAGAAUGAUUAGACGAAUUACGCCUCAUUGGUAAUUACUGUCUGUGCAGUUAUGAAGAUACGAGGGCCAUCUGAGUAGUCAAUAGAGCAUUAGCGAACGGCAUUGUCUGAGGUGCCGCAAACGGGUCUGAAACCAUAAACCAGUAGUUGGCUGCUGAAAAAGAGAAGCCUCUUGUUGCCGCUAAAAACCUUUUCGGUUUUCAAUCAAUUGGGAUAGAGAGAGAGGCAGAGUAGGGGGUUGGCCGUGACUGUCGUACGCGAGUCACAGAAGACGGACCAAGUGAGGAUUCAGGAAGCGAGCAUGCUACAGUUUGAC